Molecule: ribosomal RNA, 339 nt
Filed under: uncultured bacterium
Lineage: Bacteria
Description: SSU rRNA
Rfam family: Bacterial small subunit ribosomal RNA
Source: RNAcentral
AGAACGAACGCUGGCGGCGUGGAUAAGACAUGCAAGUCGAACGAGGCAGUUUGGUAGCAAUAUCAAAUUGCCUAGUGGCAAACGGGUGCGUAACACGUAGGUUACAUUCCGGAAAGUGUGGGAUAGCCCAGGGAAACUUGGAUUAAUACCGCAUGUGAUCGCAAGAUCAAAGGUGGCAACACCGCUUUCCGAUUGGCCUGCGCCCUAUCAGCUAGUUGGUGAGGUAAUGGCUCACCAAGGCAACGACGGGUAGCUGGUCUGAGAGGACGACCAGCCACACUGGAACUGAGACACGGUCCAGACACCUACGGGUGGCAGCAGUCGAGAAUCUUUCACAAU